This 352-nucleotide ribosomal RNA is filed under the name Diplonema papillatum. RNAcentral describes it as "partial large subunit ribosomal RNA". The record is from RNAcentral. Lineage: Eukaryota; Euglenozoa; Diplonemea; Diplonemida; Diplonemidae.
UACCAUAGCACCAACCAGUGCAUAGCAUGACAGUGUCUCUACCACCUGUCAGCUAGUACACUGUGCUAUGUGGUAUGGGUGAUACCUCCUAGUCCUAGAGCACCACACAUCCCAUGUGGUAGCUCUAAGCACGUAGGUACGGUAGAGCUAAUGGGUAGCUGCGCAUGGAGCACCUCGGUGUCGUCUCAUGCUACAGCUGUCCAUACGAGCAGCCCAGGACGAUGUCCACGUCCUUAGAGCUCUCGUUGGUGGGUUGUGCACGCCAUGUGGUAGUGCUCCUCCUCCACAUGACAGUGAUACACAGUACGCUAGGACAUGCUACGGGAGGACCACCACAUAGUAUGCUAUGAGU